RNAcentral lists this transfer RNA (85 nucleotides) under Camelus bactrianus (Bactrian camel). It matches the Rfam family "tRNA". Rfam says of the family: Transfer RNA (tRNA) molecules are approximately 80 nucleotides in length. Their secondary structure includes four short double-helical elements and three loops (D, anti-codon, and T loops). Further hydrogen bonds mediate the characteristic L-shaped molecular structure. tRNAs have two regions of fundamental functional importance: the anti-codon, which is responsible for specific mRNA codon recognition, and the 3' end, to which the tRNAs corresponding amino acid is attached (by aminoacyl-tRNA synthetases). tRNAs cope with the degeneracy of the genetic code in two manners: having more than one tRNA (with a specific anti-codon) for a particular amino acid; and 'wobble' base-pairing, i.e. permitting non-standard base-pairing at the 3rd anti-codon position. The record is from Rfam by way of RNAcentral. RNAcentral also lists the same sequence under 2 other names. Lineage: Eukaryota; Metazoa; Chordata; Mammalia; Artiodactyla; Camelidae.
GAGAGUAUAGCUCAAGUGGUAGAGCACAUGUUUAGCAUGCAUGAGGGUGUGCUUGAGGUCUUGGGUUCAAUCCUCAGUACCUCCU